GACGAACGCUGGCGGCGUGCUUAACACAUGCAAGUCGAACGAAGAGCGAUGGAAGCUUGCUUCUAUCAAUCUUAGUGGCGAACGGGUGAGUAACGCGUAAUCAACCUGCCCUUCAGAGGGGGACAACAGUUGGGAACGACUGCUAAUACCGCAUACGAUCUAAUCUCGGCAUCGAGGAUAGAUGAAAGGUGGCCUCUACAUGUAAGCUAUCACUGAAGGAGGGGAUUGCGUCUGAUUAGCUAGUUGGAGGGGUAACGGCCCACCAAGGCGAUGAUCAGUAGCCGGUCUGAGAGGAUGAACGGCCACAUUGGGACUGAGACACGGCCCAGACUCCUACGGGAGGCAGCAGUGGGGAAUCUUCCGCAAUGGACGAAAGUCUGACGGAGCAACGCCGCGUGAGUGAUGACGGCCUUCGGGGUGUAAAGCUCUGUUAAAUCGGGACGAAAAGGCCCUCUUGCGAAUAA
RNAcentral lists this ribosomal RNA (464 nucleotides) under Veillonella parvula. RNAcentral's name for it is "bacterial SSU rRNA". It matches the Rfam family "Bacterial small subunit ribosomal RNA", at positions 28 to 464 of the family's 1533-position model. Lineage: Bacteria; Bacillati; Bacillota; Negativicutes; Veillonellales; Veillonellaceae. The record is from RNAcentral.